This 66-nucleotide transfer RNA is filed under the name Pylocheles mortensenii. RNAcentral describes it as "tRNA-Cys". It matches the Rfam family "tRNA". From Rfam's summary of the family: Transfer RNA (tRNA) molecules are approximately 80 nucleotides in length. Their secondary structure includes four short double-helical elements and three loops (D, anti-codon, and T loops). Further hydrogen bonds mediate the characteristic L-shaped molecular structure. tRNAs have two regions of fundamental functional importance: the anti-codon, which is responsible for specific mRNA codon recognition, and the 3' end, to which the tRNAs corresponding amino acid is attached (by aminoacyl-tRNA synthetases). tRNAs cope with the degeneracy of the genetic code in two manners: having more than one tRNA (with a specific anti-codon) for a particular amino acid; and 'wobble' base-pairing, i.e. permitting non-standard base-pairing at the 3rd anti-codon position. Lineage: Eukaryota; Metazoa; Arthropoda; Malacostraca; Decapoda; Pylochelidae. The record is from RNAcentral.
AACCUUAUAGUGGAAAUAUAAAGACGUCAGACUGCAAAUCUGAAAAUGUGAAAAUCACUAAGGUUU